CCCACUUUUGUACUUUCGCAUUCUUCGUGCUAGCUCUCUAGCUUUCUCUUCUAGCUUUAUUUUUCCCUUUCUUGCUUAGUUCAUACCUUUUUUCUAACUUUCUUAGGAGGCUUUAGCUGCUUCCAUCAUGUACGCUUAGUUCAUUUUGCUUGAUGAAUGAAGCAGGUAGCUCGCUACCUCUUUCUCAAAAAAAACAAAUUAGACUCCAAUAAACUUUAUCAAGUAGCGCAAUUGACAUUUCUUUCGA
RNAcentral lists this long non-coding RNA (247 nucleotides) under Ananas comosus (pineapple). Its description in RNAcentral is "long non-coding RNA (ACOM_LNC028516)". Lineage: Eukaryota; Viridiplantae; Streptophyta; Magnoliopsida; Poales; Bromeliaceae. The record is from RNAcentral.